Molecule: unclassified non-coding RNA, 351 nt
Filed under: uncultured bacterium
Lineage: Bacteria
Description: contains 16S-23S intergenic spacer region
Source: RNAcentral
GCGGAGUGCUGUGGCCGCGGUGGUGAGGUGCUGGCGCGCCUCAUCCCGCUUCUCUGUUCGCCGGUAGAGAUUGCCGAGGCCGAGGUGGCAGUGGGCGAGAAGCGGGAGCAUCCCGAGCUCGUCGGCCAGCGCGGCAGCCUCGCAGUAGCGCGUCUCGGACUCAUCGGCAUCGGCCGGAUCGCGGCGCGAGGCGAUCUCGCCGAGGAGGUGUAGCGCCCGCGCCUCGUGUCCCCGUUCGGACCGCUCACGGGAGAGGGCGAGCGCCCGCGCGGCCGUGUCGAUCGCGUCACCCGAACGGGCGGCAGCGAGAUAGGCCUGCCCCAGAUGGAUCGUCGCGAGCACCUCCUCCCG